RNAcentral lists this transfer RNA (72 nucleotides) under Sphaerodactylus townsendi. Its description in RNAcentral is "tRNA-Val". Lineage: Eukaryota; Metazoa; Chordata; Lepidosauria; Squamata; Sphaerodactylidae. The record is from RNAcentral.
GGUGCUGUGGCUCAGUGAUAGAACAUCUGUUUCACAUGCAACAGAUCCCAGGUUCAAUCCCCAGCAUCUCCA